AACAUUGGCGUCGCUCAAAUUGUCGCGGCAUCUUGGUCGAACAACCAUGGCGCGCCGGCUCCCACCCCAGCGAUUACGGCUGUUGACGCACCCGCGGCCGCCGCGGUGCUGCGAAUGGGGUCCUUCAUGCUAAGGAUCCGUGCUGUGAAGGCGAAAACAGCCAGAUUGACGAUUCGCCUAAGCAUAAAUAUAAAUUCAGAUGGCAGCGUUGCGAUUCAUGCUGCUUUAGGAUAACUCACAAGCGAUUUCUCUAUUCUUCUAAUUAAUGUGGAUUUACUGAUCCGUUCAUGUGAUUGUUACUGAUGCAAUCACUACUCCAGUAGUUAUUACAUCUGCAUACUUCUUCAAGAAGACUGCUGAUCUCAUUGACUCAAAGUUUUAGGUGAGGCGGACGGCUUUAAAGAUGACAAACGAGUUAUUUUACACACAAGUUCCGUUGAAGAGUGAUGAAUUGUGAAGAAUUGAAGGUUUUAGUUAUUUAAUUCUUUAUUGUGAUAGAUUUUUAUCUUCCUACUCCAUGAUUUAAUGUUUAAACAUUAUAUUAUGUGAUUUAUUUCAAAUUUA
Long non-coding RNA from Salvia hispanica, 564 nucleotides. RefSeq lists it as uncharacterized. The record is from RefSeq and is a predicted model, not a curated record. Lineage: Eukaryota; Viridiplantae; Streptophyta; Magnoliopsida; Lamiales; Lamiaceae.